GGCCUUUAGUUUAUGAUUUAAGGUCUGACCUGCCCAAUGAUUAUUUUGAAUGGCCGCAGUAUUUUGACUGUGCAAAGGUAGCAUAAUCAUUAGUUUUUUAAUUGAGAGCUGGAAUGAAUGGUUUGAUGAAAAAAUAACUGUCUCAAUAAAAUUUAUUUAGAAUUUUAAUUUUGAGUGAAAAAGCUUAAAUGUUUUAUGAAGACGAGAAGACCCUAUAGAGUUUAAUAUUAUUAAUAUUAAUUAUUUUAGGUUUUAUUUGUAUAUUAGUGUUGAUAUUAUUUUGUUGGGGUGACAGAGAAAUUUAACUAACUUUCUAUGUUUUAUAACAUUAAUUUAUGAGUUCUUGAUCCUGAUUUUUUGGAUUAUAAGAUUAAAUUACCUUAGGGAUAACAGCGUAAUUUUCUUGGAGAGUUCUUAUCGAUAAGGGAGUUUGCGA
Molecule: ribosomal RNA, 436 nt
Filed under: Dailognatha quadricollis
Lineage: Eukaryota; Metazoa; Arthropoda; Insecta; Coleoptera; Tenebrionidae
Description: partial 16S ribosomal RNA
Rfam family: Bacterial large subunit ribosomal RNA
Source: RNAcentral